RNAcentral lists this unclassified non-coding RNA (343 nucleotides) under soil metagenome. RNAcentral's name for it is "partial contains 5.8S ribosomal RNA, internal transcribed spacer 2, and large subunit ribosomal RNA". The stretch from base 1 to 120 matches the Rfam family "5.8S ribosomal RNA", at positions 35 to 154 of the family's 154-position model. The record is from RNAcentral.
GAUGAAGAACGUAGCGAAAUGCGACAAGUAAUGUGAAUUGCAGAAUUCCGUGAAUCAUCGAGUCUUUGAACGCACAUUGCGCCCUCUGGUAUUCCGGAGGGCAUGCCUGUCCGAGCGUCAUUGCUGCCCUCAAGCACGGCUUGUGUGUUGGGCCCCGUCCUCCUUCCGGGGGACGGGUCCGAAAGGCAGCGGCGGCACCGCGUCCGGUCCUCAAGCGUAUGGGGCUUUGUCACUCGCUUUGUAGGCCUGGCCGGCGCUUGCCGAUCAACCAAACUUUUUAUCAGGUUGACCUCGGAUCAGGUAGGGAUACCCGCUGAACUUAAGCAUAUCAAUAAGCGGAGGA